AAAAUGACUUCGGCAAUGGAUAUCUCGGCUCUCACAUCGAUGAAGUACGCAACGAAAUGCAAUACUUGGUGUGAAUUGCAGAAUCCCGCGAAUCAUUGAGUCAUUGAACGCAAGUAGUGCCCGAAGCCUUUUGGCCAAGGGCACAUCUGCCUAGGUGUCACGC
This 163-nucleotide ribosomal RNA is filed under the name Jatropha podagrica (goutystalk nettlespurge). Its description in RNAcentral is "5.8S ribosomal RNA". It matches the Rfam family "5.8S ribosomal RNA". Rfam says of the family: 5.8S ribosomal RNA (5.8S rRNA) is a component of the large subunit of the eukaryotic ribosome. It is transcribed by RNA polymerase I as part of the 45S precursor that also contains 18S and 28S rRNA. Lineage: Eukaryota; Viridiplantae; Streptophyta; Magnoliopsida; Malpighiales; Euphorbiaceae. The record is from RNAcentral.